This 484-nucleotide ribosomal RNA is filed under the name uncultured bacterium. Its description in RNAcentral is "partial 16S ribosomal RNA". It matches the Rfam family "Bacterial small subunit ribosomal RNA", at positions 29 to 507 of the family's 1533-position model. The record is from RNAcentral.
AUUGAACGCUGGCGGCAUGCUUUACACAUGCAAGUCGAACGGCAGCGCGGGCUUCGGCCUGGCGGCGAGUGGCGAACGGGUGAGUAAUACAUCGGAACGUGCCCAGUAGUGGGGGAUAGCUCGGCGAAAGCCGGAUUAAUACCGCAUACGACCUGAGGGUGAAAGCGGGGGAUCUUCGGACCUCUCGCUAUUGGAGCGGCCGAUGGCAGAUUAGCUAGUUGGUGGGGUAAAGGCCUACCAAGGCGACGAUCUGUAGCUGGUCUGAGAGGACGACCAGCCACACUGGGACUGAGACACGGCCCAGACUCCUACGGGAGGCAGCAGUGGGGAACUUUGGACAAUGGGCGAAAGCCUGAUCCAGCGAUGCCGCGUGUGUGAUGAAGGCCUUCGGGUUGUAAAGCACUUUUGGCGGGAACGAAAAGGACUGUGCCAAUACCACGGUUCGAUGACGGUACCCGCAGAAUAAGCACCGGCUAACUACGUG